Molecule: ribosomal RNA, 180 nt
Filed under: Triticum aestivum (bread wheat)
Lineage: Eukaryota; Viridiplantae; Streptophyta; Magnoliopsida; Poales; Poaceae
Description: partial small subunit ribosomal RNA
Source: RNAcentral
AUGGUCAUUUUAUGGCUUCUCAUGCUUGUCUAAUGGGAGGUGUGGAAUGAAAGAAACACAAGAGUCUUUCGAAACAGAUCGACUAUGCCUAUUAUUUUGGUCGACAACAUCAAAGUGGAGGUAAGAAAUUGGGUCCUUGCAGUGGGUAAGCAUUUUUUUUCUUUGAUGCCGCGAGAUUAG